RNAcentral lists this transfer RNA (67 nucleotides) under Fusiturris similis. RNAcentral describes it as "tRNA-Asp". Lineage: Eukaryota; Metazoa; Mollusca; Gastropoda; Neogastropoda; Turridae. The record is from RNAcentral.
AAAAAGUUAGUUAAAUAAAUAAUAUAAGAUUGUCAGUCUUAAGUUGCUAUAUAAAUAGUACUUUUUA